RNAcentral lists this transfer RNA (91 nucleotides) under Caldifarciminota bacterium. RNAcentral's name for it is "candidate division WOR-3 bacterium (hot springs metagenome) tRNA-Leu". It matches the Rfam family "tRNA". Rfam says of the family: Transfer RNA (tRNA) molecules are approximately 80 nucleotides in length. Their secondary structure includes four short double-helical elements and three loops (D, anti-codon, and T loops). Further hydrogen bonds mediate the characteristic L-shaped molecular structure. tRNAs have two regions of fundamental functional importance: the anti-codon, which is responsible for specific mRNA codon recognition, and the 3' end, to which the tRNAs corresponding amino acid is attached (by aminoacyl-tRNA synthetases). tRNAs cope with the degeneracy of the genetic code in two manners: having more than one tRNA (with a specific anti-codon) for a particular amino acid; and 'wobble' base-pairing, i.e. permitting non-standard base-pairing at the 3rd anti-codon position. Lineage: Bacteria; Pseudomonadati; Caldifarciminota. The record is from RNAcentral.
GCCGGGAUGGCGGAAUUGGUAGACGCAGCGGACUUAAAAUCCGCUGGAUAUUUUUAUAUCCGUGCCGGUUCGACUCCGGCUCCCGGCAUCA